GGUGAUGUGCCGUACCAAAUUCGAUUGAUUGAGCUGCAGGGCUGGAAGUAGCAGUAGUACAAAUAGGCCCAACUUAUCCUCGCGCCCACCUUUAGGUGCCACUGCGCUUAACUAUAGUAGGGCUCCAUGUCAUAAAGUGAAUCGCCAAAAAAACAAUGGAAAUUGUUUUGAGCGUUAAAACUGGAAAGUCCCUCCAGGUAGGAACGCCUUCAUAGGCGGGGUUGUGGUCCAGUUCCACUAUCACUCGUGGAACAGACCUAUCUUAGUGUCCACAAUAUAUUGCACGAAUGGAAGCAAACGAUUAAUUAUUGGUGGAUUUGUACUUUGCAAUGCUCAAUGUGAUAGCUAUCCCAGUUGGGUUUCUUUCUAAUGCAUCAUAUUGUUCAUCAUAUUGUAAACAUAAAUGCUGAAUCGCCAAUUUGUAACUUGCGGCUGCGCCAUGAAUGAGAUAUGCCCGCCUUGUACCUCGGUACGUACGAUUGCAGGUCACCUGUUUUUUAAUACAAACUUGGACAAGAUAAAAAGUAAGCAGUUAAGGAGGUCCACAAUUGUUAUUUCGAUGAAUAUUGUCAGUAUCACAACAGUAUGCCUAGCGUUCCCCACUCGCUGUGGCCCAAGUUCAGCAGCAUGCAUUUCUUACCAUCCCCAGAAUUAGUUAACCUAGGUUUUCGCAAUAACCUUACAGCUAAUAGAACUCAAAGCUAUCGGGAGCAAGUUGCAAACGUACCUUCCACGAAUUUGCCAAAAAUCCUCUUCACCGCAAGCGGAAGCGGACGUAAAGCCCACGCAGCUCCAGCCGCCUCUUGAGGCCCACCUACCCCAGGUACUUCAGGAAAAAAAACAGGUAAAGUACUAUCAAAUGGGCGCGGAAGGAUUUAAGGAUGAGUUGGAAGCCAUGUGACCUGUUCAAGCUCUGCAUUAAUGGACCAUCCAUGCACAAAUGCAGAUCAUUCAUAUCCACCCCGCUGCCUCAUGUCCCCCCGGGAGGCCGACCCUCAACAGUACAUGCACCGAUGCCUUACCGCCGGGAUGUGGAGGUAAGACCGACACGGUAGAAAAGCUUUUUCGUGACCAUAAGCGGGGAAGUGUGUUGGGUGUGGAAUUGCGGUUCGUCCAGUGUGCGGUCUAGCUGCUGGUGAGCUUGCUGACCCAAACACCGUUCCUGGCCGCGAGCAUCAUGGGCGGGCUUCAGAUGAUGCGCGAUAGGCACCACAGUUGCCGCUUUCACAGCAAGUGGAAUGUCUUGAAAGGGGUCUAACGCCGGGGCUGCAUCCACAGCAGCUGCCGGAGGAGCGUGACGAAAACGGCAGAGACGACUGUAGUCUGUGAAGCCGUGUGCGCACGUGUCCAAGGAAAACCCGGGUGUGGGAGGUCCGCCAUGCGCCCAUGGGGCUACCGCGUUUACAAAGGUGUGCAGGACGUACAUCAUCCUCUAGGAUGGUGUCUGCAUCUGCACAAUACAAUCAUCCUCGUGUAACGCUAGAUGGCCCUGGACAGAGGCGUGCAGGCGAAUACGAAGGCCCCGAGCGACCAUGCCCGAGGGGCGGAAGAGAGUCCGGCUGGUUGCUGAGGCGAGCGGGGAGAAGAUACUCCCCGCAGGACACACAAGGGGUAGAGAGAGACAACCGCAUAGGAGGUCAGGAGUGUACCUUGCGGCCGAUUUGCCUAUCCAGCUCACCAGCAGACGAGAGUAGAAUUUGCGGUGGUUAGCUCAUGUUGCCUUGUUGCUGACAUAAACGUCAAAGAAGGACCUGCAUCGUGAAUAAUUCAAUAUGUCUUGUCGUUUAUUCCAUUUGGAAAAACGGAAAACAUUUGAUUUUUGCGGGAUACGGAAGGGGGAAUGGCCCUGAAUGGCUGAGGAGAGCUUAUCCCUGCUGGUAUCGUUUUCGUCCUUACUCGUGCACCCAGGUCAAGUGGACGCGGUAAUAUGGAAACCAGCAGCUCAAAAGAUCGUAAAAGAUGUCGAUGGCCUGUUGAAACUUCAGCGGCGUUCCGCAGCUACAGAAACAUUUAAAUAAACUCCGGUUAGGAUAGCCGGAUAGAGGGUAUGGAAGCAGGCGCCUCGCGAUAAUCCAUUAACUAUUUAAACCAGCAGCUCACUGCGAAGAAGCUUGGGCAAAAUGCUAGGAUAGGAUCGCUGGGUGUAAUU
This 2149-nucleotide long non-coding RNA is filed under the name Volvox carteri. RNAcentral's name for it is "long non-coding RNA (VCAR_LNC000346)". The record is from RNAcentral. Lineage: Eukaryota; Viridiplantae; Chlorophyta; Chlorophyceae; Chlamydomonadales; Volvocaceae.